Molecule: ribosomal RNA, 430 nt
Filed under: uncultured bacterium
Lineage: Bacteria
Description: bacterial SSU rRNA
Rfam family: Bacterial small subunit ribosomal RNA
Source: RNAcentral
GUGGGGAAUAUUGCACAAUGGGCGCAAGCCUGAUGCAGCAACGCCGCGUGAGGGAUGAAGGCCUUCGGGUUGUAAACCUCUUUUAGCAGGGAAGAAGCGAAAGUGACGGUACCUGCAGAAAAAGCACCGGCUAACUACGUGCCAGCAGCCGCGGUAAUACGUAGGGUGCAAGCGUUGUCCGGAAUUAUUGGGCGUAAAGAGCUCGUAGGCGGUUUGUCACGUCUGCUGUGAAAAUCCAAGGCUCAACCUUGGACUUGCAGUGGGUACGGGCAGGCUAGAGUGCGGUAGGGGAGAUGGGAAUUCCUGGUGUAGCGGUGGAAUGCGCAGAUAUCAGGAGGAACACCAAUGGCGAAGGCACAUCUCUGGGCCGUAACUGACGCUGAGGAGCGAAAGCGUGGGGAGCAAACAGGAUUAGAUACCCGUGUAGUCC